CUAGGCUCAAGUGAUUCUGCCCACCUCUGCCUCCCAAAGUGCUGGGAUUAUGGGCAUGAGCCAGCGCAUCUGGCCACCGUAUUUUCUAUUACUGGCUCAAUGUAAUGGCUCCAUCUCAGGAACAGCCAAUGAAAGAGAUGCACAGGACAAGAAACAGGACCUUGCCCUGUCACUCAGGAUGGAGUUCAGUGGUCCUAUCAUGGUUCAUUAUAGCCUCAAACUCCCAGGCUCAAGCAAUCCUACCAUGUCAGCCUUCCCAGUAGCUGGGACUACAGGUCUCACACUGUCACCCAGGCUGGAGUACAGUGGCACAACCUCUGCUCACUGCAGCCUCCACCUGCCAGGCUCAAGCAAUUCUCCUGCCUCAGCCUCCCGAGUAGCUGGGAUUACAAGAAGUGACCUCACAAUGACUCAAGCUACCACAUGCUGUUGAUUGUGAAAUGCCAGUUGAAGCAUAUGUCCUGCGAGCUUAGGGGUGCUACAAGUUGACCACUGCAGCAGUAAAGAUGACUCUGAAGAAUGGCGUGGGAUGGAUCCUUUCGAAUGCACUUGAGCAGCGGUCUCCAACCACAGGGCCACAGAGCUGGAGGUGAGCAGCAGCUGGAUCUACCAUGAAAGACUUCUGAAUCCAGGAAGAGAGACUGACUGGGCAACAUGUUAUUCAGGGUCUCCCUCUGUUGUCCAAGGCUGGAGUGUAGUAGUGCUAUCGCAGCUGACUGCAGCCUCAACCUUCCAGGCUGAAGCGAUCCUCCCAUCUCAACCUCCCACGUGGCUGAGACUACAGGUGCUUGCCACUAUGCCCAACUAAUAUUUGGAAUUUUCGUAUACGUGGAUUCCAGAGGGGUGACAGCAAAACGUGGGACCAUCCAGUUGCAGGAAAACAAGCUUAACAUGCCCACUGAUUCUACAUUAUGCUCCUACCUCCCGGCAGCAUCUCCAGGCCCAGAACUUUCUCCAGUCAGCCUCUACAGACCAAGCUCAUGACUCACAAUGGCCUAUUUAGGCCCAUACCCUACCUCACGGCAGUCUCCGCAGAUGAGCCUACUGCCUCACAACAGCCUCCACAGGCACAGCUCCGUCGUUACAAUGGCCUCUUUAGACCCAGCUCCUGCCUCCCAGCCUUCUCUCCAGGCCCUGAACUUUCUCAAGUCGACCUCACCAGGCCCAGCUCAUGCUUCUUUGCAGCCUCUCCAGGCCCAGCUCCUGCAUCUUGGUGACCCCUCCAGGCACAGCCUCUGCCUCCCGUCGGCCUCUACAGUCCCAACAUCUGCCUCACAGCAGAUUCUUCAGGCCCAGCAUCUGCCUCACUGUGGACCCCCCAAGCCAAGCUCCCAACCUUUCAGCAGCUUCUACACACCCAGCUCCUGCCACCCAGUGGCCUCUUUAGGCCAAGCUCAUGCUUCACAAGGGUCUUUCCAGGCCCAAUUUUUGUCUCAUGGCAACCUUCCCUGGCCAGAUUCCUGCCUGUCUCCCAGCAGCCUAGACAGGCCCAGGUCUUGCCUCACACUGGCCUCUCUACAUCCAGCUCAUGCCUCACGGUGGCCUCUCCAGGCUCAACUCCUGUCCCAGGACGUCAUCUCCGGGCCCAAAACUUAAAGUCAGACUCUCUAGUCCCAACUGCUGCCUCCUGGUGGAUUAUGAAGGCCCAAAAUCUCCUCAAGUUGACCUCUACAGGCCCAGCUCCUGCCUCCUGUCAGCGUCUACAGGCCCAACCUCUGCCUUAUGGGGGCUUCUCCAGGCCCACCUCUUCCUCUUGGCUGGGUCUACAGGCACAACUGCUGCCUCACAACAGCCUUUUUUGGCCCAGUUCCUGCCCAGCUCCCAGCGGCCCUGGUAGACCCACAACUUCCCGAAGCCAAGCUCCCCAGGCCCAGGUCAGGCCUCACGGUGGCCUCUCCAAGCUCAGCUCCUGCCCUCCAAUGGCAUCUGCAGGCCCCAAAUGGUCUCCAGUCGGUGGGCUCCUCCACGCCAAGCUUGGGCCUCUUGGCGACCUCUGCAGGCCCAAGUUGUCCUGAAGUCGGCCUCUCCCGGCCCUGCCUCCCAGCAAGUAAGCAAGCUCUUUUGGCUCAACUACUGCCGAGCUCCCAACCGCCUUUCUAGGCCCCGAACUUUCUCCAGCCAAGCUCUUCGGGCCUACUUCCUGCCUCCCGGUGGCCUGUACAGGCCCAGCACUGGUUGGAGAACAGCCUCUGCAGGCCCCACUCUUGCCUCCCAGGGGCCUCUCCAGGCCCAGCUCUUGCCCCCACGGCGGCCUCCCGGGGCCAAGUCCCUGCCUGCCUCCCAGCAGCCCGCAUGCGGCCCAGCUCCUUCUCACAGUGGCCUGUUGAUGCCCAACUCAUGCCUCUGGCACCCUGCCCAGAGACAUGAGCCCCUGCCUCUCACUGGCUCCUCCCACGCUGAGACAGGUCAGCGUGAGCCCUUGCCUCACACCGGCCCCUCCCACGCUGAGAGGUCAGCAUGAGCCCCUUGCCUCACACCGGCCCCUCCCACACUGAGAGAGGUCAGCGUGAGCCCUUGCCUCACACCGGCCCUCUCCCACGCUGAGAGAGGUCAGCGUGAGCCCUUGCCUCACACCGGCCCCUCCCACGCUGAGAGAGGUCAGCGUGAGCCCUUGCCUUACACCGGCCCCUCCCACGCUGACAGAGGUCAGCCUGAGCCCCUUGCCUCACACCGGCCCCUCCCACGCUGACAGAGGUCAGCCUGAGCCCCUUGCGUCACACCGGCCCCUCCCUCGCUGACAGAGGUCAGCGUGAGCCCCUAGCCUCACACCGGCCCCUCCCAGGCUGACAGAGGUCAGCGUGAGCCCCUUGCCUCACACCGGCCCCUCCCACGCUGACAGAAGUCAGCCUGAGCCCCUUGCCUCACACCGGCCCCUCCCUCGCUGACAGAAGUCAGCGUGAGCCCCUUGCCUCACACCGGCCCCUCCCACGCUGACAGAGGUCAGCGGGAGCCCCUUGCCUCACACCGGCCCCUCCCACGCUGACAGAGGUCAGCCUGAGCCCCUUGCCUCACACCGGCCCCUCCCACGCUGACAGAGGUCAGCCUGAGCCCCUUGCGUCACACCGGCCCCUCCCACGCUGACAGAGGUCAGCCUGAGCCCCUUGCCUCACACCGGCCCCUCCCACGCUGACAGAGGUCAGCAGGAGCCCCUAGCCUCACACCGGCCCCUCCCACGCUGACAGAGGUCAGCAGGAGCCCCUUGCCUCACACCGGCUCCUCCCACGCUGACAGAGGUCAGCCUGAGCCCCUUGCCUCACACCGGCCCCUCCCACGCUGACAGAGGUCAGCGGGAGCCCCUUGCCUCACACCGGCCCCUCCCAGGCUGACAGAGGUCCGCGGGAGCCCCUAGCCUCACACCGGCCCCUCCGACACUGACAGAGGUCCGCGGGAGCCCCUUGCCUCACACCGGCCCCUCCCAUGCUGACAGAGGUCAGCGUGAGCCCCUUGCCUCACACCGGCCCCUCCCACGCUGACAGAGGUCAGCCUGAGCCCCUUGCCUCACACCGGCCCCUCCCACGCUGACAGGUCAGCCUCAGCUCCUAGCCUCACACCGGCCCCUCCCAGGCUGACAGAGGUCCGCGGGAGCCCCUAGCCUCACACCGGCCCCUCCCACGCUGAGAGAGGUCAACGUGAGCCCCUUGCCUCACACCGGCCCCUCCCACGCUGACAGAGGUCAGCGGGAGCCCCUAGCCUCACGCCAGCCCCUCCCACGCUGACAGAGGUCAGCGGGAGCCCCUUGCCUCACACCGGCCCCUUCCACGCUGAGAGACGUCAGCGUGAGCCCUUGCCUCACAUCGGCCCCUUCCACGCUGAGAGAGGUCAGCGUGAGCCCCUGCCUCAACAGGCCACCGUGAGGGAGGAGCAGGCUUGCACGCGGGCUGCUGGGAGGCAGGCAGGGACUUGGGCCUGGGAGGUCACAGUGGGGCGAGAGCUGGGCCUGGAGACACCCCUGGGAGGCAACAGCGGGGCCUGCAGAUGCUCUUCUCCAGCCGGAGCUGGGACUGUUCAGGCUACUGGUGGCGGGAUGUGGGCCUGAGAGCUUGGUUGCAGAAACUUCGGGGUCUACAAAGGCCGGCGGGAGCUGAGCCAAAAGAGCUUGUUUGCUGGGAGGCAGGAGCUGGGCCGGGAGAUGCAGCCAGGAGGAACAGCUGGGCCUGAAGAGGCCCCCAUGUGGGAGGCAGAGGCCGGGCCUCCUCAAGUCGGCCUCUCCAGACCCACUUGCAGCCUCCCAGCGUCCUCUCCGGGCCCAGCUCUUCCUCCCGGCUGCGUCUCCAGGCCCGACUCUGGCCUCCCAACAACGUCUUUGGACUCAGCUCCUGCCCAGCUCCCAGCGGCCCUGGUAGACCCACAACUUCCUGAAGCCAAGCUCCCCAGGCCCAGCUCAGGCCUCACGGUGGCCUCUCCAGGCUCAGCUCCUGCCCUCCGAUGGCAUCUGCAGGCCCCAAAUGGCCUCCGGUCGGUGGGCUCCUCUAGGCCCAGCUUGGGCCUCCCGGCGGCCUCUGCAGGCCCAAAACGUCCCGAAGUUGGCCUCUCCAGGCCCAGCUCCGGCCUCCUGGCGGCCUUUGCAGGCCCAAGUCGUCCUCAAGUCGGCCUGGAAUUAGGCCUGGAAGAGCAGCAAGUCAGCCUCUCCGGGCCCAGCUCCAUCCUCUCGGCGGCCUCUCCAGGUGCAAAACUUCCUCGAGUCAGCCUCUCCAGGCCCAGCUCCUCCUGCCUCCCAGUGGCCUCUUUCAGCCCAGCCCAGCCCAGCUCAUGGCUCUCGGCAGCCUUCCCAGGCCCCGCUUUUGACUUUUGGCGGCCUCUUCAGGCCCAGAACUUGCCCUCCAGUGGACCUUUGCAGGCCCGGCCUCGGCCUCGGCCUCACAGCGGACUCUCCACGCCCAGCUAGCUCUCACCUCACUGCGGCCUCCCCAGUCCAAAGCUCCUGCCUUUCGGCCGCUUCGGCAGGUCCAGCUCCUGCCUGCCAGUGGCCUCUUUAGGCCCAGCUCAUUCCUCACAAUGGUCUUCCCAGGCCCCGUUUUUCCCUUCUGGCAGCCUCUUGGCCUCUAAUUUGUUUAUCUUUUGUGUAUAAAUCCCAAAAUAUGGAAUUUUGGAAUAUUUCCACCAUUAUAUGAAUAUUUUGGUAGGUAAUUUAUUUGGAGUUAGUUUCUGCACCAUGCCCGAAUUUUUUAUUUUAUUUUCCUUAUUAUUUGGUGUUAAACAGAUUUAAUGACGGUCAUGGCAACUUUUUGGCACAAUGAAAAAUAUCGCCCAUGAAAAAAAAAAAAAAAAAA
This 5270-nucleotide long non-coding RNA is filed under the name Homo sapiens (human). RNAcentral describes it as "long independently transcribed non-coding RNA 999 (LINC00999)". Lineage: Eukaryota; Metazoa; Chordata; Mammalia; Primates; Hominidae. The record is from RNAcentral.